GGACUGUGUUGUAGUUGAAACAUUUCCUUUGUUGUAAACAACAAGUUGUGCCCUAGGAAAGGACCUGCUGAAAGGAUCUGGAGGAUGAAAUGUGCUUCACUCAGCUUGGCUUCUCUCCUGGUGACACAGACCAUCAGCCAGUGCAACUGAAGCAUCAGUACAAUAAGGAGAAGAGAGACAGAAGAGGACAGGAAAAUGGCUGAAAGUGCGAUUAAUUCUGCACAUAAAAUAAGGAAACAUCCAUGCAUAGACUCCACUCCUGCAACUCCUAGAGGUUACUUGGAAACACCCUCAGAUUCUGAUGUCACCACAACUAGUCACGGAGCACAGUUGCUUAUGGAUCUGGAAGGAGACAGACACCUCCAGAAGCUCAGUCAGAUGGGAAGAAUUGUCCUCUGGAAACGCCGAUUACCUUCCACAGGCUACAAAGAGAUGUUAGGGCUACUAUGCUCAAAAUUUCAGCAACUUGGAACUAUACCUACAAGGGAAAAAUUCAUGUCUGUCUUUCUGUGGGAAUGUCCUAACAAAGUCUUGGAAAACAGACUUGACAUUUCUAGGACACAUCCUUCUACUAAUCUGUAAGAAUGAAUUCUACAUAUUCAGUAAAGGUUCAAUUAAGUAAUUUUAAUUAUUCCAUCAAAUAGUUCCUCAAGACAGUAAAAGAGGUUCUUGACUUUUUUGUAAACUUAUCAUGAAACUGGAGCAUUCAAUAUUUCUCAAAUGAUUACCUACCAUAUAAAAUAUUUGUUACUUCACAUUAUUACCAUACAGACUGUAUUUGCCCCCCACUUUGCCUAAAUCUUAUCUGGACAUCUACCUAGCCAAGAACAUAUCACCAGACAGUUGAAAUACUCUUCUAUGGAGAGUAUUAUUUUCAUGUAAGACUUUUCUGCUUCAGUGAUGACUACCUGCCAAUUCUAAAGAACCUUAAAUCCAGUCAUCUUUACCAAAGGACUGUUUUCUUAGAAAAAAAUAUCAAAAUGAGCUGUUUGAAGUGGUGUAACUGUCUUACAGUUCAAAACCUUGAACACAACACUAGUAUUCCUAAUGGUGGUCUCAAGAGAAAAUUGGUCCAGUAAUAGGCCAGGUUAAGAAACCAGCUCUGAAGCACAACGCUUCCCAUGUGAUGUCUCAGACAUUAAAACCAUUUCAAGCAGAAAUGCCUUCCAGAAUUGAGACAUGUAACUGAUUGCUACUUUCUAGCAAGGAGAAGAGAGAGGCGGGAGGGAGAGAGGGGAGGGAGAGAGGGG
RNAcentral lists this long non-coding RNA (1250 nucleotides) under Apteryx owenii (little spotted kiwi). RNAcentral's name for it is "lncRNA (ENSAOWG00000003148.1)". Lineage: Eukaryota; Metazoa; Chordata; Aves; Apterygiformes; Apterygidae. The record is from RNAcentral.